This 790-nucleotide ribosomal RNA is filed under the name uncultured archaeon. Its description in RNAcentral is "bacterial SSU rRNA". It matches the Rfam family "Archaeal small subunit ribosomal RNA", at positions 85 to 879 of the family's 1478-position model. The record is from RNAcentral.
ACGGCUCAGUAACACGUCGAUAAUCUAACCUAAGGUAAGGGAUAACUUCGGAAAUCUGAGGCUAACACCUUAUAUGAGAAUAAUCCUGGAAUGAUUAUUCUCUCAAAGGCAACGCCUUAGGAUGAGUCGGCGGCCGAUUAGGCAGUUGGUGAGGUAAAGGCUCACCAAACCAGUGAUCGGUAGGGGCCCUGAGAGGGGUAGCCCCGAGAAGGGUACUGAGAAACUGACCCUAGCCCUACGGGGUGCAGCAGGCGCGAAAACUUUACACUACACGAAAGUGUGAUAAGGGGAUCCUAAGUGCUUAUGUUUUGCAUAAGCUUUUGCCAAGAUUAAAAACCUUGGAGAAUAAGUGAUGGGUAAGACUGGUGCCAGCAGCCGCGGUAACACCAGCGUCACAAGUGGGGACCACAUUUAUUGGGCCUAAAGCGUCCGUAGCCGGCUUAGUAAAUCUUCUGUGAAAUCAUUAGGCUUAACUUAAUGACGUGCAGAGGACACUGCUAAACUAGGAACCGGGAGGAGUCAGAGGUAUUCUGGGGGGCGCGGUAAAAUGCGAUAAUCCUCAGAGGACCACCCGUGGCGGAGGCGUCUGACUAGAACGGGUUCGACGGUGAGGGACGAAAGCCAGGGGAGCAAACCGGAUUAGAUACCCGAGUAGUCCUGGCUGUAAACGUUGCGAGCUAGGUGUUGCAUAUUCUUCGAGAAUAUGUGGUGUCGAAGCGAAGGCAUUAAGCUCGCCGCCUGGGAAGUAUAGUCGCAAGACCGAAACUUAAAGGAAUUGGCGGGGGAGCAC